RNAcentral lists this non-coding RNA (177 nucleotides) under bovine gut metagenome. The record is from RNAcentral.
UUUUGUUGGUGUUUUGAACAAACUUAAUAGGAAAUUCCGUUAGAAUCGGAAGCACUCCCGGUGCUGUGAUAGGGGACGAAAAGCUUUUCAUUAAAAACAAAUCACUGCUUUUUAUAAGCGGGAAGAUAAAGUCUAGUAGGUUAUUAUCCUUAAGCCAGAAGACCUGCCGAUAAAUAA